CCUCCAGCGGAGGAAUUAUCGCAGCAGGAAACUGCCACCUUGACCUGCCUGGCGACGGGUUUCCACCCCAGCGACAUCCUGGUGACGUGGACGCAACAGGACCGACCCGUCCCCACCGAAAAAUUCGCCGUUUACGGACCCGGCCCGGAUGUUGGAACUUCGGGGGAAAAUUUCGCCGUUUACAGCAAAUUGACGGUUCCGGUCGGCGAGUGGCAACGGGGCGACUCCUUCGCCUGCGUGGUCGGGCACGACGGGAUCCCGCUGAAUUUCAUCCAGAAGAAUUUGGAUAAAAAUUCGGCAGAGGGCGUGGUGGUGACGGUGGGGACGGAGCCGGGGGCCGAGGGCGAGGAAGCCGCUGGCGACCUGUGGACGGCCGCGACCUUCAUCGUCCUCUUCCUCCUCAGCCUCUGCUACAGCACCGGCGUCACCCUCUUCAAGGUACCCCCCGCUAAUUAG
Pterocles gutturalis (yellow-throated sandgrouse) is the source of this 456-nucleotide non-coding RNA. The record is from the annotation of a RefSeq genome assembly. Lineage: Eukaryota; Metazoa; Chordata; Aves; Pterocliformes; Pteroclidae.